This 185-nucleotide non-coding RNA is filed under the name Thermomonospora curvata. The record is from RNAcentral. Lineage: Bacteria; Bacillati; Actinomycetota; Actinomycetes; Streptosporangiales; Thermomonosporaceae. RNAcentral also lists the same sequence under 1 other name.
GCCCAUAUGCGAAGAUUGCACGCCGUAGGCGACGGCGGACGAGGAAGCCGGUGCGAGUCCGGCGCGGUCCCGCCACUGUGAUCGGCGAGCGGACCCCGAUGACGCCACUGCCCGCACGCGGGUGGGAAGGCCGGGGCGAGCGACGACCCGAGAGCCAGGAGACUCACGCAGUCGCCUCCUCAGUC